RNAcentral lists this ribosomal RNA (253 nucleotides) under uncultured bacterium. Its description in RNAcentral is "partial 16S ribosomal RNA". It matches the Rfam family "Bacterial small subunit ribosomal RNA", at positions 524 to 776 of the family's 1533-position model. The record is from RNAcentral.
UACGUAGGGGGCUAGCGUUGUCCGGAUUUAUUGGGCGUAAAGAGCGUGUAGGCGGCCAGGUAGGUCUGGUGUGAAAACUCGAGGCUUAACCUCGAGAUGUCAUCGGAAACCAUCUGGCUAGAGUCCGGAAGAGGAAAGUGGAAUUCCUGGUGUAGCGGUGAAAUGCGCAGAUAUCAGGAAGAACACCCGUGGCUAAGGCGGUUCUCUAGUACGGUACUGACGCUGAGACGCGAAAGCGUGGGGAGCGAACAGG